This 979-nucleotide ribosomal RNA is filed under the name Escherichia coli. RNAcentral describes it as "bacterial SSU rRNA". It matches the Rfam family "Bacterial small subunit ribosomal RNA", at positions 483 to 1457 of the family's 1533-position model. The record is from RNAcentral. Lineage: Bacteria; Pseudomonadati; Pseudomonadota; Gammaproteobacteria; Enterobacterales; Enterobacteriaceae.
AGAAGAAGCACCUGACUAACUCCGUGCCAGCAGCGCGGUAAAUACGGAGGGGUGCAAGCGUUAAUCGGAAUUACUGGGCGUAAAGCGCACGCAGGCGGUUGGUUAAGUCAGAUGUGAAAUCCCGGGCUCCAACCUGGGAAACUGCAUCUGAUACUGGCAAGGCUUGAGUCUCGUAGAGGGGGGGGUAGAAUUCCCAGGUGUAGCGGGUGAAAUGCGUAGAGAUCUGGAGGAAUACCGGUGGCGAAGGGCGGCCCCUGGACGAAGACUGACGCUCAGGUGCGAAAGCGUGGGGAGCAAACAGGAUUAGAUACCCUGGUAGUCCACGCCGUAAACGAUGUCGACUUGGAGGUUGUGCCCCUUGAGGCGUGGCUUCCGGAGCUAACGCGUUAAGUCGACCGCCUGGGGAGUACGGCCGCAAGGUUAAAACUCAAAUGAAUUGACGGGGGCCCGCACAAGCGGUGGAGCAUGUGGUUUAAUUCGAUGCAACGCGAAGAACCUUACCUGGUCUUGACAUCCACGGAAGUUUUCAGAGAUGAGAAUGUGCCUUCGGGAACCGUGAGACAGGUGCUGCAUGGCUGUCGUCAGCUCGUGUUGUGAAAUGUUGGGUUAAGUCCCGCAACGAGCGCAACCCUUAUCCUUUGUUGCCAGCGGUCCGGCCGGGAACUCAAAGGAGACUGCCAGUGAUAAACUGGAGGAAGGUGGGGAUGACGUCAAGUCAUCAUGGCCCUUACGACCAGGGCUACACACGUGCUACAAUGGCGCAUACAAAGAGAAGCGACCUCGCGAGAGCAAGCGGACCUCAUAAAGUGCGUCGUAGUCCGGAUUGGAGUCUGCAACUCGACUCCAUGAAGUCGGAAUCGCUAGUAAUCGUGGAUCAGAAUGCCACGGUGAAUACGUUCCCGGGCCUUGUACACACCGCCCGUCACACCAUGGGAGUGGGUUGCAAAAGAAGUAGGUAGCUUAACCUCGGAGGCGCUAC